Wyeomyia smithii (pitcher-plant mosquito) is the source of this 1392-nucleotide long non-coding RNA. RefSeq lists it as uncharacterized. The transcript is spliced from 2 exons. Lineage: Eukaryota; Metazoa; Arthropoda; Insecta; Diptera; Culicidae. The record is from RefSeq and is a predicted model, not a curated record.
GCCACUAGCGGACAGCAGCGUCAUCAACAAAUAAACAAAACGUAGAACUACGUGAACAAUAAAACACAAAUUUCUGUACAAACACUAGUGAUUAUGACGUUAAAAAUUACAUUUUCGUGAACCACAAAUUAAGAGCUUUCGAUUGAUGUAUAUAUCAUCGUUGUCCGAUUCAUUUAAAGAAAAAUCAUGUUUCAAGAUGGCUUGACUCAGUUUUUUGAAAAUUUCUCGGAAACCACUUAACCACAAAUUACCACAAAUUAGAUUUCGAACUCACAAAUUAACCACUAAAUAUUGGUGAUAAAAGAAUUGAUAAAAAUUACUUUGUCAAGCCAUCUUCAUAUAUGCAAUUUUCACUUCCAAUGAUCGCAGCACUGUUUCAGAUACACUAGAUUUUCGAACUAGUAACGUGCUGUUAUACUCCGAUGAAAUAUUUCGUGCGCACCGUUCACGGUUACGCGAUAAAAUUUGACGACGAAUCCGACCAAAUAUUCUUUACUGUUCCUUCGUCAAAGCGAAAAAGACAAACAAACAGCAAGCGUUACAGAGACGAAACGUCAAAAUUGAUCCAAGCUAGAGUGAAUCCGAGAGAACAGUGGUUGGCUGAACUUGACAAUACAAAUGGAUGCAGCAUUCAAAGCAAACGUUCGUUUGCUAUGUUUUCGUUCUUUAGUGCCGGUUUGUUUUUGCUUAGCAUGGAGGAAAGCUGUGUGGUAGCCGGUCCAGUACGUGCCGCUUGAGGCUAUCUUUUUGGCGGAACACGAUCGCACAGUGCGAACAGACGGACGGUUUUUGGUGUCAACAUCGACUGAGAACAAACCCUAACCAUGGCCCGUACAAAGCAGACCGCUUGUAAAUCCACUUGUGGAAAAGUUCCUCGUAAGCAGUUGGCCACAACGUCAGCUCGUAAAAGUGCCCCGGCUACUGGUGGAGUAAAGUAGCCUCAUCGUUAUCGUCCCGGAACAGUCGCUCUGCGUGAAAUCCGUCGUUACCAGAAGUCGACUGAGUUACUGAUCCGCAAGCAUCCGUUCCAGCGUUUGGUCCGUAAAAUUGUCCAGGACUUCAAACUUUUCCAGAGCUCUGCUGUUAUGGCUCCGCAGGAAGCUAGUGAAGCUUACCUUGUCGGUCUUUUCGAAGAUACCAAUCUGUGUGCCACCCACGCCAAAGGUGUCACCAUUAUACCAAAGAACACCCAGCUGACUCGUCGUAUCCGUGGUGAACGUGCUUAAAGUGGUUAUCAGUUUCGUUUGCUUCUAAAUUUGUAAAACAAACGGCCCUUAUGAAGGCCACCAACACUUUGAAUGAAGAUUUGAAUUUGUUUUAAGCGUCUGGGAUAUUUCCGCAAUUAAAAUUCAAUAAAAAUUUUGAUUACUCAAUAAGGGUUCGGUUUCAAAA